This 3017-nucleotide long non-coding RNA is filed under the name Nicotiana tabacum (common tobacco). Its description in RNAcentral is "long non-coding RNA (NTAB_LNC015650)". The record is from RNAcentral. Lineage: Eukaryota; Viridiplantae; Streptophyta; Magnoliopsida; Solanales; Solanaceae.
UCUUUUUUACCAAAUUAAACCUCUCGUUUGUCAAAAUUUGGUUCUUCAAAUCCCUAAACCUUUUUUGAUAUACUCUAUCUAACAAUUGAUGCUACUAACCCAUGUAAGCCCUCUUGUUCGGGUGAUGAUCUCUACAAAAUCUUUCUAAAAACUCGAUCUCCAUUGGUUCCAUAGCCGAUGAUUUAGGCACGAAAACUACAAAAGAAAUGUAAGUCUUUUUCUAUCAAAAAAAAUUUUUCUUCUUUUUUCCUAGUUAAAAUCAUUUUUCUAUGUAAUUAAUAAAAGUGUAUAUUUUGUGAUUUUUGGGAUUUAUUUAUGAAAGAUUGGUGAGGGUUUGCCGAUUAUAAUUUUGUAUGCCAUUCUGGAAUACCAGCGAAAGAAAAAAAUGGGUAAAUCACACGUGAGUAAGUGUACAUUCCCCAAACCCCGGAAAGAUCGAAAUAAAAUCUCAAAUUUCUUCAGAUCUAGUUAUAUAUUUUGGGAGUUGGCGAAUUCGUCCUUUAUUACAUUAUUUGGAGCAUUUAAGUUUGUAUUGUUUCCUCUUAGCAAUUACUCAACUUUUUGGGACCAAGAUCUCGUGGGCCAAUUGCUAUAAUGAAGAUCUGGAAUUUUUGGUUGUUCUAUGUCAUGGAUGAGCUUUGGGGAAGUAUAGUGAUUUUAGUAAGAGAUACUCUUUUUGGGAUUCACUAAUUAGGUAAGCAUAUGUUCAUCCUUUCCUGAAUAUGUUUAAGAACUAGAUGGAGAUGAUGAUUCUAGAAUCUAGUGUAAGUGUCAUAAUUUGAUACAAUAGAGUCAUACAGUUUGGGUGAAGCUUGAGAUUUUUGGUGCUUUCUUUAUUAUAGUCUUAUUGUGCGAGAAAUCCAAUUAAUUAGAUUCUGAUAUUCUCUAGUUCACACACCACUUUGUUUGGACGAUGGUUGCUUCUGUAGUUUUGCGUGCUAAAAUUAGUCUCUUUAUAGUAGCAAUAAGUUGAUGCUUGAUAUCAUUUGGAUACUCGUGCUACUAGACUGUGCCUUCUGCAUCUUCAUGGUUCUGAUGGGAAGGAGGAAGCAUGCUGCCGGUGGCAAAAUAGUGAAAUUCUAAAAUUUUGCUCUAGCUCUAUUUAAUAUUCCUUUUAAUGGUUGAUAACUUAACUAAUAGUUUGAUUUAUGUUGCCAACUGGAGAAUAUUAUUUUUUUUCUUGGUCUACUUGUUAUAUUUUGUUUCAGUUGGUCAUACCAAAUUUUUAAGGUUUCAUUCUGUUCUCUUGGAAUUAUCAUUCUUUUACUCUUGUGCUAGCCAGUUACAAUAUAGUCAUUAACAGUUGUCUAUGUCUAUAUUGUCACUGCUCUUGAGCUUUGGUGGGUGAAAUCGGCUCAUUUUUAGGUCAAGUGCCAUUUUUACUACUCUUUAAAAGUCUCAUUAUUUUAGUUUAUUGCCUUAAUAAACUUGAUUCUAUUAUGCAUAGUAACGGGCUAGUGUUGAAUGAAUCUUCAUUUUACAGAAAAAUAUGUCUUUUUAAGUAAAAAUCACUACAUUAUAUUUAUUAGAUUUUUACUUAAGCAUGAUAUCGAUUUAAGAAAUGUUAGAGCAAUUUACGAGCUGACACUAAUGGUUAAUGAAUGGUGACUCUAAUUAUUUUAACAUAAUGUAAUAUAAGUCUGAAGAAUACUUUUGAUAAUUUGAGUAGUAGAUUAUAGUAUUCUUUCUUUCUAUCGUUAGAAAUUUUUUACCACUGAUGGAGUAAGUAGCAAUGGAGCUGAAAGAUGGUAAUUCCAUGGAGGAACUGCCCUUGUUAUUGGAGUACUACGGGUAUAGAGUAAGCAACAUUUCAAGUCCUAUCCAUUAUUCUUUUUCUCUAUCGUAUGAAAUUUUGGAGUUCAUUCAUUUCAUUUACAGUGUCCAUUAACUUCUAAUUCUUCUUCUUUACUGAUGCACUAGACAUGCCAUAGUUGAAGAAUUGUUGAGCUUUAGUGCAACGAUUUAUACUACUCAUGAAAUAAAAAAUACUUAGACGAAUAUCCGGAGAAACUGGCAAAAGAAGGGGUAUAAAUUAAAAAGGUAUACAUGUUUCUUAUUAUCAGAAGAUCAAUGGCACCCGUAAUUAAAAAACCACUAAAUAAAUCAGUGGGAAUAGUGACAUCUUUGUAAGUGAGAUACCUUAAAUUGUUGUGAAGUUCAUAUUGAAUAUUUAAUUGAAGAUUACUUAUCAUGUAAGUUCACAUUAAAUCCGUUAAUCUAAUGCUCUCCGCAUUCUAUGACUUGAUCAGUUUUGUGGACUCUUUCUUGUUUUAUAUUUUUUAUUUGACUAUGCAUCUUUGAAAAUUGUUAUGUCUUCUGGUUUAUUUUGAGAUUUGAUCCUGUUUAUAUGAAGUUAUUUUUUCAUAUAGUUAGCACAUUUGAUACUUGUUUAUGGCUUAGCUUUAAAUACCUAAUCUCAACAUUAUAUAUAGACUAGAAUUUGGAUCCAUACCAUGUUAAAUUCCAGCUUCAUGUUUCUUUGUGUUUAAUGAUCAGUUUAUAAAGUUUUGCUCAUUUCAAAUAAUUUAUGUCAAGAUUAAAAAGAAUGUCAGCUUAUACUCUAACAUUGUUUGUUUGACAUUCUAAUUUAUUAUUGUGUAUAUUUUUUGCAGUCAAUUUUCCCUUGUUGAUUCAAAUUUUGAAGGUGCAUAUAAUUACACUUGAUAGAAUGUGACAUGUGAGUGGUUUAAUUACUAUUACUCUUAAUUUAGAUGAUUAGCCAAUUUUCUAGUUCAUCUUUAUAGCUUUUUCAUAGAAUGUUUUAUAUUUUUCAUAGGUUUUGGAGACUUAGUUUACACAUCAAGAUGUAGGUUGAAGACUUCAUGCAAGUUGACGAGUUGAUUAUUAUUUUGCAAAGACUGCUAGGCAAAAAUUUAUAUUUUUUGCUAUGGAUCUUAGCUCUUUUACAAAGAGGUUGUGUAAACAAUAAACAAAGAUAUUAUUGAUAAUUUUGUUGAAUCCAAUUGAUUUAUAAUACUAUAAAUUGUAUCAUAUUUUAGUGAAUAUGAUUGAAAAAG